Carlito syrichta (Philippine tarsier) is the source of this 708-nucleotide RNA transcript. It is a transcript of the gene named phosphatidylethanolamine-binding protein 1 pseudogene, with no coding region annotated. The transcript has a single exon. Lineage: Eukaryota; Metazoa; Chordata; Mammalia; Primates; Tarsiidae. The record is from RefSeq and is a predicted model, not a curated record.
GCCGCGUGCACCUGGCCUGCCGCGGCUCUCCGGCUGAACGACCCACUCGGCCCUGCCAUGCCAGUGGACCUCAGCAAGUGGUCCGGGCCCUUGAGCCUCCAGGAAGUGGACGAGAAGCCGCAGCACUCGCUGCGGGUCACCUACGGCGGCGCCGCGGUGGACGAGCUGCGCAAAGUGCUGACGCCCACCCAGGUUAAGGACGGACCCACCAACGUUUCGUGGGAUGACCUAGAUCCAGGUAAACUCUACACCUUGGUUCUGACAGACCCGGAUGCUCCCAGCAGGAAGGACCCCAAAUACAGAGAAUGGCAUCAUUUUCUGGUGGUCAACAUGAAGAGCAGUGACAUCAGCAGUGGCACAGUCCUCUCCGACUACGUGGGCUCAGACCCCCCCCCCCCCAAGGGCACAGGCCUCCACCGCUACGUCUGGUUUGUUUACGAGCAGAACAGGCCGCAGAAGUGUGAUGAGCCCAUUCUCAGCAACCGAUCUAGAGACCACCGUGGCAAAUUCAAGGUGGCAUCUUUCCGUAAAAAGUAUGAGCUUGGGUCCCCAGUGGCUGAUACGUGUUACCAAGCUGAAUGAGAUGACUAUGUGUCCAAACUCUACGAGCAGUUGUCUGGGAAGUAGGGGAGCGCUCGGAGGUGUCAGCUGUCCCGAAGGCCCCAAGCAGUGUUCUCCAGUUCAGUGUUGCAUGUAGAUUUCUCCUCU